This 244-nucleotide ribosomal RNA is filed under the name uncultured bacterium. Its description in RNAcentral is "partial 16S ribosomal RNA". It matches the Rfam family "Bacterial small subunit ribosomal RNA", at positions 104 to 334 of the family's 1533-position model. The record is from RNAcentral.
GGGUGAGUAACACGUGGAUAAUCUACCCGACAAUCAGGGAUAACAUUUCGAAAGGAAUGCUAAUACCUGAUAAGCCUACGCCCUCCUCGGAGGAAGUAGGAAAAGGUGGGGACCUUCGGGCCUACCGUUGUCGGAUGAGUCCGCGGCCCAUUAGCUAGUUGGUAGGGUAAUGGCCUACCAAGGCUACGAUGGGUAGCUGGUCUGAGAGGAUGAUCAGCCACACUGGAACUGAGACACGGUCCAG